UACGUAGGGUGCAGGCGUUAAUCGGAAUUACUGGGCGUAAAGCGUGCGCAGGCGGUCUUUUAAGUCAGAUGUGAAAUCCCCGGGCUUAACCUGGGAACUGCGUUUGAAACUGAAAGGCUAGAGUGUGGCAGAGGGGGGUGGAAUUCCACGUGUAGCAGUGAAAUGCGUAGAGAUGUGGAGGAACACCGAUGGCGAAGGCAGCCCCCUGGGCUAUCACUGACGCUCAUGCACGAAAGCGUGGGGAGCAAACAGG
This 253-nucleotide ribosomal RNA is filed under the name uncultured bacterium. RNAcentral's name for it is "partial 16S ribosomal RNA". It matches the Rfam family "Bacterial small subunit ribosomal RNA", at positions 524 to 776 of the family's 1533-position model. The record is from RNAcentral.